CCCCUUCACUCCAGGAUAAACAAACAUCCGACUCAACAAUUAGCUGACGGAGAGGAGAGCGGGCUGCCGGGCUGGAUCUCCAUCCAGAUUUCCCAAGCGUGGCCCUGGACGACCAGCCCCGAGCACACCACAAAUGUUCUGCAGAGAUAUUGGCGAUGCUGAGACACAUUCAGUCUUUAUUCCGGAGAAUUAAACGGAGGGCGGGGGCCGGGGCUGACCCUGAGCCAGAGGUCGAUGGUCCUUCAGCGCCGCCUACCAGCGGAGCAGAGAAAACCGCAUCUCGCUGACGCUGCGGGAGAAUUCGGCGAAUGACGAAACCUUCCGGCGUUGGCCAGAAAAGCAGCCAAAGGAGGAGGAAGGAACGAGAACUGGGACGCUCGCGAGCCCAGCGGCAGCACAGGCCAGGAAGGACUCAAGGCAUCUAGUGGACAAUCUGCCAGGUUUUGUUGGAAAGAUUCGCGAUGAAGCUGUUUCUGUAAAUUUGUAAAAUUAGCCGGGCGUGGCGUAAUGCCAGCAUCUAAGAGGGAGAGUCGGGAGGAUUGGGAGAGUUGAGGCCAGACUGAUUGGUGAAGUGAGUUAUAGGCUAGCCUGGGCUACUCAGAGGCAUCACGGGAAACAUAGGAAAACCCCGCAUCGAAAAGCAAGACGGAGGAGGAGAGAGGAAGUCAAUUUAAAUAAGGCACAGAUCACGCCUUAUUUGUUCAAGCUUUCUGUUUUGGUGCCAGAGAGUAAGAUGUGUCAGCUCCUGGCAGCACCCCCAUUGUACUUCAAAGAAGUUAAUGGGUAUUGAAGAACCUCCAUUUGGAGUUUGCCUCAAAUGUGGCACGCUAGCUACUGGACAAGAAACUGCCCUUGACUCAACUGCAGAAGGCAUGCUGUCCAAAUUGUAGACAAUCUGGAUGUAGGGAAGUCGACUGCAAAGACAAGAAAAACAGUCCUUCCUAAUUCCUGCUUCAUAAACAGUCUGUCAUAUACUGGAAAGGAUGCCUCAGUGUUGCUGAGGAGUACUGGGUGACUGUCCAGGCAGCCAGCUCUUUCUGUCAUUUCUAAAGUUUUGGAGGAUGCUUGCUCUGUACUUCCUACUUACUCAGAGCCCCAAAAUCCUGGCAGAGUUCUCCAAGGUCUCUGAGAAGAUUUGGGCACAGUGACAGAUGACGACUCUGGAUUGUGAUAUGCGAGACUGCCCCAACUGGCCCAUCGCUAGGACCCAGCCUAAACUGUGGACAAAGCUGUGGACCCCUGGAGAGUCAUAGUUUCACGUUGCUGAAGAUGAGGUCCCAGACGCUGUGGAGCCAGAUCCAAGAACUGGUUAGGCCCACCUGGAGCCCAAUUAUCAGAGAGGCAGUUGAAGGAAACUCAGAGACGGAUCGUUGCAAAUGCAAGAGGUUUAUUCAGGUCAAAGCACCAUGGGGCUGCUUUGCAAGUCAGCAGGGAACAGCCCUGAGAGACAAAAGCCUUGGGUUUUUCUAAAGAAAAAGCACAGGAAGCGCAGGGGAGGGGGAUUGCAAGCUUGGCAGUUUAGGAUUGGGUGACGGGCUAUAGGGUGGUUGACUUUGAAAAUGAUUGGUUCAUUUUAGGCGCCCAAGUCCAGUCAGUCCUGCCCUGGACAUCUAGACGCUAUCUGAUCUUCAAGUUACACCCCGAAUAUCCUGGGUGGGGGACCAUCUGCAAUAGUUGCGACCCUAUCUCAUACUGCAGGCCUGAACAUUCUUCUGAGGGGUGGAGACCUUUGGAGCGGUUGCUGGGCAACGUUAUCUCGCAACUGCCAGUCUGGUGGUCAUUCCUUUGCAACAGGGUGGGUCUUGUCUCAAUUUACCGGCUUCUCCUUUUGUCCUGGAAAAGUACUGGGAGAACUUAGUUUAAUAUGGGGUAUAAAAUUAAUAAAGAAACCUGU
Molecule: long non-coding RNA, 1894 nt
Organism: Psammomys obesus (fat sand rat)
Lineage: Eukaryota; Metazoa; Chordata; Mammalia; Rodentia; Muridae
Exons: 4
Source: RefSeq, a predicted model, not a curated record